This 2900-nucleotide ribosomal RNA is filed under the name Klebsiella pneumoniae. RNAcentral's name for it is "bacterial LSU rRNA". It matches the Rfam family "Bacterial large subunit ribosomal RNA". RNAcentral also lists the same sequence under 1 other name. The record is from RNAcentral. Lineage: Bacteria; Pseudomonadati; Pseudomonadota; Gammaproteobacteria; Enterobacterales; Enterobacteriaceae.
UUAAGCGACUAAGCGUACACGGUGGAUGCCCUGGCAGUCAGAGGCGAUGAAGGACGUGCUAAUCUGCGAAAAGCGUCGGUAAGGUGAUAUGAACCGUUACAGCCGGCGAUGUCCGAAUGGGGAAACCCAGUGUGAUUCGUCACACUAUCGUUAACUGAAUACAUAGGUUAACGAGGCGAACCGGGGGAACUGAAACAUCUAAGUACCCCGAGGAAAAGAAAUCAACCGAGAUUCCCCCAGUAGCGGCGAGCGAACGGGGAGCAGCCCAGAGUCUGAAUCAGCUUGUGUGUUAGUGGAACGGUCUGGAAAGUCCGACGGUACAGGGUGAUAGUCCCGUACACCAAAAUGCACAGGCUGUGAACUCGAAGAGUAGGGCGGGACACGUGGUAUCCUGUCUGAAUAUGGGGGGACCAUCCUCCAAGGCUAAAUACUCCUGACUGACCGAUAGUGAACCAGUACCGUGAGGGAAAGGCGAAAAGAACCCCGGCGAGGGGAGUGAAAAAGAACCUGAAACCGUGUACGUACAAGCAGUGGGAGCACCUUCGGGUGUGACUGCGUACCUUUUGUAUAAUGGGUCAGCGACUUAUAUUCUGUAGCAAGGUUAACCGUAUAGGGGAGCCGCAGGGAAACCGAGUCUUAACUGGGCGUUAAGUUGCAGGGUAUAGACCCGAAACCCGGUGAUCUAGCCAUGGGCAGGUUGAAGGUUGGGUAACACUAACUGGAGGACCGAACCGACUAAUGUUGAAAAAUUAGCGGAUGACUUGUGGCUGGGGGUGAAAGGCCAAUCAAACCGGGAGAUAGCUGGUUCUCCCCGAAAGCUAUUUAGGUAGCGCCUCGUGAACUCAUCUUCGGGGGUAGAGCACUGUUUCGGCUAGGGGGUCAUCCCGACUUACCAACCCGAUGCAAACUACGAAUACCGAAGAAUGUUAUCACGGGAGACACACGGCGGGUGCUAACGUCCGUCGUGAAGAGGGAAACAACCCAGACCGCCAGCUAAGGUCCCAAAGUCAUGGUUAAGUGGGAAACGAUGUGGGAAGGCACAGACAGCCAGGAUGUUGGCUUAGAAGCAGCCAUCAUUUAAAGAAAGCGUAAUAGCUCACUGGUCGAGUCGGCCUGCGCGGAAGAUGUAACGGGGCUAAACCAUGCACCGAAGCUGCGGCAGCGACACUAUGUGUUGUUGGGUAGGGGAGCGUUCUGUAAGCCUGCGAAGGUGGCCUGUGAGGGUUGCUGGAGGUAUCAGAAGUGCGAAUGCUGACAUAAGUAACGAUAAAGCGGGUGAAAAGCCCGCUCGCCGGAAGACCAAGGGUUCCUGUCCAACGUUAAUCGGGGCAGGGUGAGUCGACCCCUAAGGCGAGGCCGAAAGGCGUAGUCGAUGGGAAACAGGUUAAUAUUCCUGUACUUGGUGUUACUGCGAAGGGGGGACGGAGAAGGCUAUGUUAGCCGGGCGACGGUUGUCCCGGUUUAAGCAUGUAGGCUGGUUAUCCAGGCAAAUCCGGAUAAUCAAGGCUGAGGUGUGAUGACGAGGCACUACGGUGCUGAAGUAACAAAUGCCCUGCUUCCAGGAAAAGCCUCUAAGCAUCAGGUAACACGAAAUCGUACCCCAAACCGACACAGGUGGUCAGGUAGAGAAUACCAAGGCGCUUGAGAGAACUCGGGUGAAGGAACUAGGCAAAAUGGUGCCGUAACUUCGGGAGAAGGCACGCUGGUGUGUAGGUGAAGCCCCUGCGGGUGGAGCUGAGACCAGUCGAAGAUACCAGCUGGCUGCAACUGUUUAUUAAAAACACAGCACUGUGCAAACACGAAAGUGGACGUAUACGGUGUGACGCCUGCCCGGUGCCGGAAGGUUAAUUGAUGGGGUUAUCCGUAAGGAGAAGCUCUUGAUCGAAGCCCCGGUAAACGGCGGCCGUAACUAUAACGGUCCUAAGGUAGCGAAAUUCCUUGUCGGGUAAGUUCCGACCUGCACGAAUGGCGUAAUGAUGGCCAGGCUGUCUCCACCCGAGACUCAGUGAAAUUGAACUCGCUGUGAAGAUGCAGUGUACCCGCGGCAAGACGGAAAGACCCCGUGAACCUUUACUAUAGCUUGACACUGAACAUUGAGCCUUGAUGUGUAGGAUAGGUGGGAGGCUUUGAAGCGUGGACGCCAGUCUGCGUGGAGCCAACCUUGAAAUACCACCCUUUAAUGUUUGAUGUUCUAACGUUGGCCCCUUAUCGGGGUUGCGGACAGUGUCUGGUGGGUAGUUUGACUGGGGCGGUCUCCUCCCAAAGCGUAACGGAGGAGCACGAAGGUUAGCUAAUCCUGGUCGGACAUCAGGAGGUUAGUGCAAUGGCAUAAGCUAGCUUGACUGCGAGCGUGACGGCGCGAGCAGGUGCGAAAGCAGGUCAUAGUGAUCCGGUGGUUCUGAAUGGAAGGGCCAUCGCUCAACGGAUAAAAGGUACUCCGGGGAUAACAGGCUGAUACCGCCCAAGAGUUCAUAUCGACGGCGGUGUUUGGCACCUCGAUGUCGGCUCAUCACAUCCUGGGGCUGAAGUAGGUCCCAAGGGUAUGGCUGUUCGCCAUUUAAAGUGGUACGCGAGCUGGGUUUAGAACGUCGUGAGACAGUUCGGUCCCUAUCUGCCGUGGGCGCUGGAGAAUUGAGGGGGGCUGCUCCUAGUACGAGAGGACCGGAGUGGACGCAUCACUGGUGUUCGGGUUGUCAUGCCAAUGGCACUGCCCGGUAGCUAAAUGCGGAAGAGAUAAGUGCUGAAAGCAUCUAAGCACGAAACUUGCCCCGAGAUGAGUUCUCCCUGAGACUUUAAGUCUCCUGAAGGAACGUUAAAGACGAUGACGUUGAUAGGCCGGGUGUGUAAGCGCAGCGAUGCGUUGAGCUAACCGGUACUAAUGAACCGUGAGGCUUAACCUU